Molecule: long non-coding RNA, 545 nt
Organism: Pogoniulus pusillus (Red-fronted tinkerbird)
Lineage: Eukaryota; Metazoa; Chordata; Aves; Piciformes; Lybiidae
Exons: 3
Source: RefSeq, a predicted model, not a curated record
CCGGCAGGGGGAACGGUCAGAGCAGCCCACAGCGGCAGGGCUCAGACGUUUUCCUCCCCUUCCGUUUUUAAUAACUCUGGGUUUUAGCACUUGCACUUAUUGCAGCGGCUGACAGGGGACCUGCAGGAAAAUCCAGCUUUAUUGGAACGGAAAAGCUUUUCUCCUGGAAUCAGAAGCUGGGAAUGGCUGAAUCCUGUGUUUUACUUGCAAGACACAACUGGAUGUAAAGGUGUGCGGAAGAUGUUUAAACAGCACACUUCCAUCUCCGGCCCUUGUCUGCUGCUGCUCCAUCACUCCCUGACGCUUGCAGUGGCUGCCAGUCCUGGUGGAACAAGGAGCGAUGCAGCUGAGAAUCUGCUGUCUGUGAGCUGCCUUGGGAAAUUGCUUGGCACCAGCUUUAAGAAGCUAGUUGUGGGUGCUAGCUGAAAAUGAAGGCUGCUGGAUUUGCAUGGGGUUUGUGCCCCUCUGUCCUCCUCAGCUGUGGGAUGCAUGCUGGAAGCAGCUUGAGCAGGGUGGUGAGGAGGGAGGGCAGAGGUGCAGGCAGC